CCUGCAUGUAGAGUGGACCCCAGUUAACAAAUUGAUUUCAACAGUUGUAAGGUGGGAGUGAAUAAGAUCUUGGUUUAGCAGUGUAAAGAAGGUCAUUUGGACCAAAAAUACGGAAUUUCACGAAUUUUUACUUCAAAUGGACCCGAAACCGAAAGUAGUCGUUUCCUAUGCGUAUUUUAAUAAUAAUUACGAUCAUUAGUUAUAUGCCUGCGGGUUUGCACUAUUUUAGCAAGUUUUAGGCCUCUGAACUUCCUGUGUAAGACACAGAAGGGAAGCCAACCCCUCCAGAACACCGAGUUUCAUCCGAUUUCAAUUCUCUAAGUCCGUAUUUGUGCUCAAAAUGCAAUUUAUACCCGAGAAACAUGACAAUAGAUAGCCUCAGGUUGACGGAACAUGCAUAACUUUCGAAAUAAGUAUCAUAAAAGUGACU
This 430-nucleotide long non-coding RNA is filed under the name Mytilus galloprovincialis (Mediterranean mussel). Lineage: Eukaryota; Metazoa; Mollusca; Bivalvia; Mytilida; Mytilidae. The record is from RNAcentral.